Molecule: long non-coding RNA, 1911 nt
Organism: Cephus cinctus (wheat stem sawfly)
Lineage: Eukaryota; Metazoa; Arthropoda; Insecta; Hymenoptera; Cephidae
Exons: 4
Source: RefSeq, a predicted model, not a curated record
GAAUGUAGAUCGACGGUAAUACAUCUUCGAGUGACCAUAAAUAACUAGCACAUCUCCUCAUUGGAGGAGGCAGCCAUAAGGAAAGGAAGGAAGUGACAAUAAAUAUAUAAUACACAUGCCCGUGUUAUUUUGUGCCUCGCGAUUCCGACAUGUAGAACAAACAUCUGUACAUUGAAUUUGCAUGGUUAAAGUCGAUUUAUCUAUUUACUUCAUCAGUCAAUGGCGAUGAAAUAGAUGCGAUGUCAUGAAUAAGCUAAUAAACGUACAUUACACUUAUUAUGAACGCCGGAGUAGGCGCGUCAUAUAUCUGAGACAACCAAAAUCAACGCUUUUCAAAUGAAGAAGAAAAUCGCGCGAUCAUUCCCAUGUUAAUAAUGACCAACUAAAUUUCGCUUUGUGCAAGACUAUACCUUUUACUGUAUCAUCACGACUAAAUGGAUUUCUCGUACGUUAUUGGGAACAUGGUAAUGCGAGAUCUGUUACGCAACAUGCACGAUACAUGGUCCGUGAACCGGGAUAAAAGGAACGUGAAACCCUGUGGCAGCCGGUUUAAAUCUUUGGUAUGGUCUCGCGCUGACCUUUGCGACGACCAAAUCGAACGAGCCAAAAAGAAACGAGAUAAAGGGAUACUGAACGUUGGAAUCUAUCUAUGUUUCUGCGCCUGACAGGACUAAAAGCUGGACCGUUUGUUCUUUACGUAUAAAGUUAUUGAAUUUUUGAGUAUCUAAGUCGAAAUUGCACGACGACCGCACCGUGGGCUACAGACGAUUGUGCAAAGUGGAUAAAGAAGGGGAAGUCGGGUUCCUUACUCCAAGCACCUCCGGCUCUUUUAAAGACACUUCCACUUUAAUUAUACGAAACCGCGUCAGUGAUGUUACGAUAUUACGAUAUUACGAUAUUACGAUAUUACGACGGGGCAUAAGCCAAGAGUUGAAGAUUUAGGGCUCUGAAAAGUUUGAACUGUGCAUCCCUCGGAGGAAACCCCUUAACUACCCUCUGUACGAGAGUACAGAGUAUGAAUGUGUAUCAUCAAAGGGAGCACUUGAAAGAUUUUGUCGGAACGUUAGGUGUCACUGUUUUCUUUAAAAAUUGGAGGAGACGUGUAUGUAUCGAUGCAACGAAUUCAUGAAGGACACGUAAGGCAAUCUAGCGACAGUUUGUAAUGCGAAGAUUAACCAACCCGAAAUUCACUCGUAUUCGGCGUAAUCAGUUAUCAGAAUUAUUAGUUUCUAUUGUCUUGGAGGGUAAAAAUUCUUUUCCGAUUUUAUGGCGCGGAAAGCCGAUAUAAUAAGGAUCCGAGUCGACCUGAGCCAGACAGCCUCGAACCUAGCUGGGAGUAACGAGGGAACACGAGUGGCUAAACGUCAGGAGGGUACACGAGACGAGAGUAACGGGCUUUUGCUUUCUGGGGUGUUAAGGGAAUCGGAUGAGCAGUGGAGGUAUGAAGGUGGAAGGUGGAAGGCGGUAGGCGGGGGGAGGGGCCCUACGGCAAGAUACAGUUAUCAGGCUCCCAGUAGUCUCUAACAUCUCCGAAUUACCUUUCCACGGUGGCAGUAACAAGAAGUUUGCAUUAAAUUUGUUUUCGUGUACAUACAAUCACAAGACGCAUUCAUUGCCUAUUCCAUAAUUUUAAUAAAUUAUAUACUCCGAACUAUAAUGGUUGUGUAUAACUCACGUCUAUUGCGCGAUAUAAGUAAUAUAAUUUAAAUUUGUAUUCUCUAAGACGAAGUCAAAAAACCAUGACAAAAAAAUGCGUCGUAAAAAAUAUUGUAUAUAAGUAUACAUAUAUGAAAGGCACGUGUGCCAAGAAAUGGAAACUUUGUAGAGGGACGCCAAUGUCGUUUCUUUUCUACAUCUAUAAGUUCGACAACCAUAUAUGUAUACUGUAAAGAUAACGUAUUUCCAAAGGAA